Molecule: ribosomal RNA, 447 nt
Filed under: uncultured bacterium
Lineage: Bacteria
Description: bacterial SSU rRNA
Rfam family: Bacterial small subunit ribosomal RNA
Source: RNAcentral
CCCCAGACUCCUACGGGAGGCAGCAGUGAGGGAUAUUGGUCAAUGGGGGAAACCCUGAACCAGCAACGCCGCGUGAGGGAAGACGGUUUUCGGAUUGUAAACCUCUGUCCUCUGUGAAGAUAAUGACGGUAGCAGAGGAGGAAGCUCCGGCUAACUACGUGCCAGCAGCCGCGGUAAUACGUAGGGAGCGAGCGUUGUCCGGAUUUACUGGGUGUAAAGGGUGCGUAGGCGGCCCUGCAAGUCAGAAGUGAAAUCCAUGGGCUUAACCCGUGAACUGCUUUUGAAACUGCAGGACUUGAGUGGAGUAGAGGUAGGCGGAAUUCCCGGUGUAGCGGUGAAAUGCGUAGAGAUCGGGAGGAACACCGGCGGCGAAGGCGGCCUGCUGGACCGUGACUGACGUUGAGGCUCGAGAGCGUGGGGAGCAAACAGGAUUAGAUACCCUUGUAU